Molecule: ribosomal RNA, 500 nt
Filed under: uncultured bacterium
Lineage: Bacteria
Description: bacterial SSU rRNA
Rfam family: Bacterial small subunit ribosomal RNA
Source: RNAcentral
AAUGAACGCUGGCGGCGUGCUUAACACAUGCAAGUCGAGCGAGAAAGUCUCUUCGGAGAUUAGUACAGCGGCGGACGGGUGAGUAAUGCGCAGGAACCUGCCCUUUGAUGAGGAAUACUCUUGAGAAAUUGAGAAUAAUACCGCAUAAGUCCCUACGGGGAGAAAGGCGGCUUUAAUGCUGUCGUCAGAGGAUGGGCUUGCGUGCUAUCAGCUAGUUGGUGGGGUAAAGGCCUACCAAGGCUAUGACGGCUAACCGGCCUGAGAGGGUGUACGGUCACACUGGAACUGAGACACGGUCCAGACUCCUACGGGAGGCAGCAGUGGGGAAUAUUGCGCAAUGGGCGAAAGCCUGACGCAGCGACGCCGCGUGGAGGAUGACGGUCUUAGGAUUGUAAACUCCUGUUAAGUGGGAAGAAAAGCCUAUCAGUAAUAUGGAUAGGUUAUGACGGUACCGCUAGAGAAAGCACCGGCUAACUUCGUGCCAGCCGCCGCCGUAAAAC